UCUCCGUUGGUGAACCAGCGGAGGGAUCAUUAUCGAGUUUAUAACUCCCAAACCCUAUGUGAACUUACCACUUGUUGCUUCGGCGCGCGCUUCGGCGCCGCCGAGGACACUUAAACUCUUUGUUUUUAUAAGCAUUUCUGAGUGGCCGAAAGGCAAAAUACAAAUGAAUCAAAACUUUCAACAACGGAUCUCUUGGUUCUGGCGUCGAUGAAGAACGCAGC
RNAcentral lists this unclassified non-coding RNA (221 nucleotides) under plant metagenome. Its description in RNAcentral is "partial contains small subunit ribosomal RNA, internal transcribed spacer 1, and 5.8S ribosomal RNA". The stretch from base 173 to 221 matches the Rfam family "5.8S ribosomal RNA", at positions 1 to 49 of the family's 154-position model. The record is from RNAcentral.